Molecule: transfer RNA, 70 nt
Filed under: Phrynosoma platyrhinos (Desert horned lizard)
Lineage: Eukaryota; Metazoa; Chordata; Lepidosauria; Squamata; Phrynosomatidae
Description: tRNA-OTHER
Source: RNAcentral
GCCAGUGUGGCAUAGUGGUUUGAGUGUUGGACUACAACUCUGGAGACCAGAGUUCGAUUCCCACUUGGCC